UUAAGCGACUAAGCGUACACGGUGGAUGCCCUGGCAGUCAGAGGCGAUGAAGGACGUGCUAAUCUGCGAUAAGCGCCGGUAAGGUGAUAUGAACCGUUAUAACCGGCGAUUUCCGAAUGGGGAAACCCAGUGUGACUCGUCACACUAUCAUUAACUGAAUCCAUAGGUUAAUGAGGCGAACCGGGGGAACUGAAACAUCUAAGUACCCCGAGGAAAAGAAAUCAACCGAGAUUCCCCCAGUAGCGGCGAGCGAACGGGGAGGAGCCCAGAGCCUGAAUCAGCAUGUGUGUUAGUGGAAGCGUCUGGAAAGGCGCGCGAUACAGGGUGACAGCCCCGUACACAAAAGCGCAUGUGCUGUGAGCUCGAUGAGUAGGGCGGGACACGUGGUAUCCUGUCUGAAUAUGGGGGGACCAUCCUCCAAGGCUAAAUACUCCUGACUGACCGAUAGUGAACCAGUACCGUGAGGGAAAGGCGAAAAGAACCCCGGCGAGGGGAGUGAAAAAGAACCUGAAACCGUGUACGUACAAGCAGUGGGAGCCCCACCACUAAGCCAGUGGUGAACUCCACAUACGCAUCCUUUGCUGAGGAUACGGUUAACGGAGCGAAAGCGACGUUCAACCUCAAAAGAAGCAGAGGGGGCUUAGUGGUGGGGUGACUGCGUACCUUUUGUAUAAUGGGUCAGCGACUUAUAUUCUGUAGCAAGGUUAACCGAAUAGGGGAGCCGGAGGGAAACCGAGUCUUAAUUGGGCGUUAAGUUGCAGGGUAUAGACCCGAAACCCGGUGAUCUAGCCAUGGGCAGGUUGAAGGUUGGGUAACACUAACUGGAGGACCGAACCGACUAAUGUUGAAAAAUUAGCGGAUGACCUGUGGCUGGGGGUGAAAGGCCAAUCAAACCGGGAGAUAGCUGGUUCUCCCCGAAAGCUAUUUAGGUAGCGCCUCGUGAAUUCAUCUCCGGGGGUAGAGCACUGUUUCGGCUAGGGGGCCAUCCCGGCUUACCAACCCGAUGCAAACUGCGAAUACCGGAGAAUGUUAUCACGGGAGACACACGGCGGGUGCUAACGUCCGUCGUGAAGAGGGAAACAACCCAGACCGCCAGCUAAGGUCCCAAAGUCAUGGUUAAGUGGGAAACGAUGUGGGAAGGCCCAGACAGCCAGGAUGUUGGCUUAGAAGCAGCCAUCAUUUAAAGAAAGCGUAAUAGCUCACUGGUCGAGUCGGCCUGCGCGGAAGAUGUAACGGGGCUAAACCAUGCACCGAAGCUGCGGCAGCGACGCUUAUGCGUUGUUGGGUAGGGGAGCGUUCUGUAAGCCUGUGAAGGUGUGUCGUGAGGCAUGCUGGAGGUAUCAGAAGUGCGAAUGCUGACAUAAGUAACGAUAAAGCGGGUGAAAAGCCCGCUCGCCGGAAGACCAAGGGUUCCUGUCCAACGUUAAUCGGGGCAGGGUGAGUCGACCCCUAAGGCGAGGCCGAAAGGCGUAGUCGAUGGGAAACGGGUUAAUAUUCCCGUACUUGGUGUUACUGCGAAGGGGGGACGGAGAAGGCUAUGUUGGCCGGGCGACGGUUGUCCCGGUUUAAGCGUGUAGGCUGGUUUUCCAGGCAAAUCCGGAAAAUCAAGGCUGAGGCGUGAUGACGAGGCACUACGGUGCUGAAGCAACAAAUGCCCUGCUUCCAGGAAAAGCCUCUAAGCAUCAGGUAACAUCAAAUCGUACCCCAAACCGACACAGGUGGUCAGGUAGAGAAUACCAAGGCGCUUGAGAGAACUCGGGUGAAGGAACUAGGCAAAAUGGUGCCGUAACUUCGGGAGAAGGCACGCUGACACGUAGGUGAAGUGAUUUACUCAUGGAGCUGAAGUCAGUCGAAGAUACCAGCUGGCUGCAACUGUUUAUUAAAAACACAGCACUGUGCAAACACGAAAGUGGACGUAUACGGUGUGACGCCUGCCCGGUGCCGGAAGGUUAAUUGAUGGGGUCAGCGCAAGCGAAGCUCCUGAUCGAAGCCCCGGUAAACGGCGGCCGUAACUAUAACGGUCCUAAGGUAGCGAAAUUCCUUGUCGGGUAAGUUCCGACCUGCACGAAUGGCGUAAUGAUGGCCAGGCUGUCUCCACCCGAGACUCAGUGAAAUUGAACUCGCUGUGAAGAUGCAGUGUACCCGCGGCAAGACGGAAAGACCCCGUGAACCUUUACUAUAGCUUGACACUGAACAUUGAGCCUUGAUGUGUAGGAUAGGUGGGAGGCUUUGAAGUGUGGACGCCAGUCUGCAUGGAGCCGACCUUGAAAUACCACCCUUUAAUGUUUGAUGUUCUAACGUGGACCCGUGAUCCGGGUUGCGGACAGUGUCUGGUGGGUAGUUUGACUGGGGCGGUCUCCUCCUAAAGAGUAACGGAGGAGCACGAAGGUUGGCUAAUCCUGGUCGGACAUCAGGAGGUUAGUGCAAUGGCAUAAGCCAGCUUGACUGCGAGCGUGACGGCGCGAGCAGGUGCGAAAGCAGGUCAUAGUGAUCCGGUGGUUCUGAAUGGAAGGGCCAUCGCUCAACGGAUAAAAGGUACUCCGGGGAUAACAGGCUGAUACCGCCCAAGAGUUCAUAUCGACGGCGGUGUUUGGCACCUCGAUGUCGGCUCAUCACAUCCUGGGGCUGAAGUAGGUCCCAAGGGUAUGGCUGUUCGCCAUUUAAAGUGGUACGCGAGCUGGGUUUAGAACGUCGUGAGACAGUUCGGUCCCUAUCUGCCGUGGGCGCUGGAGAACUGAGGGGGGCUGCUCCUAGUACGAGAGGACCGGAGUGGACGCAUCACUGGUGUUCGGGUUGUCAUGCCAAUGGCACUGCCCGGUAGCUAAAUGCGGAAGAGAUAAGUGCUGAAAGCAUCUAAGCACGAAACUUGCCCCGAGAUGAGUUCUCCCUGAGACUUAAAGUCUCCUGAAGGAACGUUGAAGACGACGACGUUGAUAGGCCGGGUGUGUAAGCGCAGCGAUGCGUUGAGCUAACCGGUACUAAUGAACCGUGAGGCUUAACCUU
RNAcentral lists this ribosomal RNA (3003 nucleotides) under Salmonella enterica subsp. enterica serovar Give. Its description in RNAcentral is "bacterial LSU rRNA". It matches the Rfam family "Bacterial large subunit ribosomal RNA". The record is from RNAcentral. Lineage: Bacteria; Pseudomonadati; Pseudomonadota; Gammaproteobacteria; Enterobacterales; Enterobacteriaceae.